UAGGGAAUCUUCGGCAAUGGGGGGAACCCUGACCGAGCAACGCCGCGCGAGUGAAGAAGGGUUUCGGAGCGUAAAGCUCUGUUGUUAAGGAAGAACGAGUGUGAGAAUGGAAAGUUCAUACUGUGACGGUACUUAACCAGAAAGGGACGGCUAACUACGUGCCAGCAGCCGCGGUAAUACGUAGGUCCCGAGGGUUGUCCGGAGUUAUUGGGCGUAAAGCGAGCGCAGGCGGUUAGAUAAGUCUGAAGUUAAAGGCAGUGGCUCAGCCAUUGUAGGCUUUGGAAACUGUUUAGCUUGGGUGCGGAAGGGGAGAGUGGAAUUCCAUGUGUAGCGGUGAAAUGCGUAGAUAUAUGGAGGAACACCGGUGGCGAGAGCGGCUCUCUGGUCUGUAACUGACGCGGAGGCUCGAGAGCGUGGGGAGCGAACAGG
Molecule: ribosomal RNA, 429 nt
Filed under: Bacteroidota bacterium
Lineage: Bacteria; Pseudomonadati; Bacteroidota
Description: Bacteroidetes bacterium partial 16S ribosomal RNA
Rfam family: Bacterial small subunit ribosomal RNA
Source: RNAcentral